UCAUUGUAUUCCUUCGGGAGUCUUUCCUUGCGAAAGACCCGAGUUCGGAGUCCUCGGUCUUUUGGAUCGUGUUCUCUUAGAUGCGUCGCGCCGAUCGCCUGAUGGGUACUCUAAUGCCUGAGCGUGGAGUCCCUUUGAGUUUGAGACGCGCUUGACCGGCCAUUGGGCUCGUGUCACCAAGUCCACGUCCUUUGGGAUGCUGGUACUACAACGCAUGACCUCAUUGGGGUAGGACAACCCGCUAGACUUAAGCAUAUUAAUCAGCGGAGGAAAAGAAACUAACCAGGAUUCCCCUAGUAACUGCGAGUGAAGCGGGAUCGGCUCAAUGUGUGAAUCUGACUUGGGGUAAACCCGUGUCCGAGUUGUGCACUAUGGACGCUUUGUCUGCGUAUGUAACGGCGGUGGAAGUCCGUUGAAACACGGCACCUCAGAGGGUCACAGUCCUGUACCACCUGCCUGCACUCGCGCCAAUGACAAGCAAUCCUCGAGUCGCGUAGUUUUGUAAUGCUGCGCCAAGUGGGAGGUAGAGACCUUCUAAGGCUAAAUAUGAUGACGUGACCGAUAGCACACAAGUACCGCGAGGGAAAGGUGAAAAGCAACCAUGAAAAAUGGGUUGAAACAGUAGUGAAAGCGCUACCGGGAUAAGGGCUAUCGGGUGCUGGGGCUCUUUGGGUGUGCUUUAGUGCUACCCUUGGAGACGGCCCGCGCGGGUUGAUGUUGGGGUGAUAGACGCGCCGUUGGAAUUCGGCUGCCUUCGGGCAGU
RNAcentral lists this ribosomal RNA (763 nucleotides) under uncultured Tulasnellaceae. RNAcentral describes it as "eukaryotic LSU rRNA". The stretch from base 216 to 763 matches the Rfam family "Eukaryotic large subunit ribosomal RNA", at positions 1 to 557 of the family's 3401-position model. The record is from RNAcentral. Lineage: Eukaryota; Fungi; Basidiomycota; Agaricomycetes; Cantharellales; Tulasnellaceae.